GAUGAACGCUGGCGGCGUGCCUAAUACAUGCAAGUCGAGCGAACAGACGAGGAGCUUGCUCCUCUGACGUUAGCGGCGGACGGGUGAGUAACACGUGGAUAACCUACCUAUAAGACUGGGAUAACUUCGGGAAACCGGAGCUAAUACCGGAUAAUAUAUUGAACCGCAUGGUUCAAUAGUGAAAGACGGUGUUGCUGUCACUUAUAGAUGGAUCCGCGCCGCAUUAGCUAGUUGGUAAGGUAACGGCUUACCAAGGCAACGAUGCGUAGCCGACCUGAGAGGGUGAUCGGCCACACGGGAACUGAGACACGGUCCAGACUCCUACGGGAGGCAGCAGUAGGGAAUCUUCCGCAAUGGGCGAAAGCCUGACGGAGCAACGCCGCGUGAGUGAUGAAGGUCUUCGGAUCGUAAAACUCUGUUAUUAGGGAAGAACAAAUGUGUAAGUAACUAUGCACGUCUUGACGGUACCUAAUCAGAAAGCCACGGCUAACUACGUG
This 497-nucleotide ribosomal RNA is filed under the name uncultured bacterium. Its description in RNAcentral is "partial 16S ribosomal RNA". It matches the Rfam family "Bacterial small subunit ribosomal RNA", at positions 28 to 507 of the family's 1533-position model. The record is from RNAcentral.